RNAcentral lists this long non-coding RNA (236 nucleotides) under Vombatus ursinus (common wombat). RNAcentral's name for it is "lncRNA (ENSVURG00010021071.1)". The record is from RNAcentral. Lineage: Eukaryota; Metazoa; Chordata; Mammalia; Diprotodontia; Vombatidae.
GGAGAAUGAGAAAUGCAGAGGCAGCAGCGGCGGCGGCGGCAGUAGCAGCGGCGGCAUUGCUCCAAUAGGCUCCCCUCGCUCCAGUCUCUGCUCUCGAGCCUGGGAGAGACAUCGCGCCACCCAGCCCCAGCCGAGCGGACCCUAGGCUCCCCGAGGCUCUCUUGGUGACACCAGGGCGCACCUCACACUCACCGAGGGGGCGGAAAAGAGAACAAAUCCAGAAGUUUCAUAUAUAA